UACGGAGGGGGCUAGCGUUGUUCGGAAUUACUGGGCGUAAAGCGCACGUAGGCGGAUUGUUAAGUCAGAGGUGAAAUCCCGGAGCUCAACUUCGGAACUGCCUUUGAUACUGGCAAUCUAGAGUCCGGAAGAGGUUAGUGGAAUUCCCAGUGUAGAGGUGAAAUUCGUAGAUAUUGGGAAGAACACCAGUGGCGAAGGCGACUAACUGGACAUGUAUUGACGCUGAGGUGCGAAAGCGUGGGGAGCAAACAGG
Molecule: ribosomal RNA, 253 nt
Filed under: uncultured bacterium
Lineage: Bacteria
Description: partial 16S ribosomal RNA
Rfam family: Bacterial small subunit ribosomal RNA
Source: RNAcentral